UGCUGCUUGGGCAGAGCAGUCCAUAUGGUUUCCAGAGGAAGAUUCCAAUGAGCUGAGGAUGGAGAUUCGGGCAGUACAUGGAGCCGGGAAGUUGGGAAAAAGACUCACUUCAGACCCAAGCCGACCCCGCGCAGUGGCCUUGUGACACGUCGCCCGCCUCCCGGCAUCUGUCUGUUACCACAAUGAGCUGCCCUGUUCCUGCCGAAAGCCAGACCGUCUCCAUGUACGUUGAGUCCAGACUCCUCUCGUCUGCUCCCAGACAUCACCCCGUUCUGCAGGUUGGAAGUGUGAAAUCAUCGUGUCGGCAGGGCCUCACUCCAUCUGGAGCUUCUAGAGGAGGAUCCGUUCCUCACCUCCUCCAGCUGCCCGUGGCUCCAGGCAUUCCUUGGUUUGCGGCCGCAUCACUCCACUCUCUGUCUCUGUCUUCACAUGGCCUUCUCCUUUGAGUCUCCUCCCCUCCUCUUACCAGGGGAGGAUUUAGGGCUCAAUCCUAAUCCAGGAUGAUCUCUUCUCAAGAUCCUUAACUUCUGUAAAGACCCUUUUUGCAAAUAAAGUCAUGUUCACAGUUUCCAGCGGGCAAUCUUUUGGGAGACUGCCAUUCGAACCACUGCACCUCUCCCGUUUCAAAUUUGAAAAACACGCCACACUGUAGGGCCUGGGAUCUGGCUUCCUACAGCCAACAAGGGGACAGGCAAAGCAAGCUGGAUGUGUGAGGAAGUAACUCCCAACUGACGAAGCUUGACCAAUGGAAAACAAGAGAAAGAAGAAACCAGGGAGAUGAAUCUCGCCCUCCCUGGCCCUCCUCCCACCCCGCUGAAGAAGGCUUACAUGUUCCAGCAAGCCUGCCAGCCAAGCUGCCCAGCUCUUCCAAGCUCUUCCUGAAGACAACGCCUUCACCCCCUUCUUCUUCCCUCACCUCGCUUCCCACUGUGGCUCAUCCACACCUCCCAGGGCUUGUGCUCUCAAAUAAAUUGUUAGCACCUUAUUCCCUGUCUCAAGCUUUGUUGUCUACAGGAAUCAAGCUACAACUCUAGCC
This 1036-nucleotide long non-coding RNA is filed under the name Equus caballus (horse). RNAcentral's name for it is "lncRNA (ENSECAG00000047812.1)". The record is from RNAcentral. Lineage: Eukaryota; Metazoa; Chordata; Mammalia; Perissodactyla; Equidae.